UACGUAGGGAGCAAGCGUUGUUCGGAUUUACUGGGCGUAAAGGGCGCGUAGGCGGCCUGUCAAGUCAUCUGUGAAAUCUCCGGGCUUAACUCGGAACGGUCAGAUGAUACUGUCAGGCUAGAGUGCAGAAAGGGCAAUCGGAAUUCUUGGUGUAGCGGUGAAAUGCGUAGAUAUCAAGAGGAACACCUGAGGCGAAGGCGGGUUGCUAGGCUGACACUGACGCUGAGGCGCGAAAGCCAGGGGAGCAAACGGG
Molecule: ribosomal RNA, 253 nt
Filed under: uncultured bacterium
Lineage: Bacteria
Description: partial 16S ribosomal RNA
Rfam family: Bacterial small subunit ribosomal RNA
Source: RNAcentral